This 124-nucleotide microRNA precursor is filed under the name Hordeum vulgare. Its description in RNAcentral is "microRNA MIR1122". It matches the Rfam family "MIR1120/MIR1122 microRNA precursor family". Lineage: Eukaryota; Viridiplantae; Streptophyta; Magnoliopsida; Poales; Poaceae. The record is from RNAcentral.
UUAAUACUACCUCCGUCCGAAAAUACUUGUUCUAGAGAUGAAUGUAUCUAGACUUAUUUUAAUUGUAGAUACAUCUAUUAUAUGCAUUUUUAGGACAAGUAUUUCCGGACGGAGGGAGUAGUAA